UUGCUGAGAGGAGAGGAACUUUACGCACGGCAUGCACGCGCAAAAUAACUGCAGAUUGAGUGCUUUCGCGCAAUAGGACUGGCUGUGGCUAUUGCCAAUCAAUCCGUAUCCAGACAGCUCUCUUUUGAUGUGCCUGAGCUCCUGAAAUUCCGGCCUCUCGUGUGCAUCCUUGGCCCCAUAAUACCGUGGCCGCUCCAGCUCGCCACUGAGAAUGUCCCUGUAUGGAUAUACUACGCAGGAGAUACGACUUCGGGAGCCGCUCAUCAUUCCUCUUUCUUUUUUUUUUUUUUUCUUUUUUUUGCUUUUUUUAAUCUUGUCUUUGCUUUCAUUGUGCUGAAGAGGGAAUCCACCAAUCAACGCCACUAUGGCCUAGUCGGGCUCGACUUCAAUCAUUCAGGUUUCAUGGUUUCAUUAUUCUUUCCAGCUCCCAGUACAAUUUUUCCCAGUUGAGUUCGGUCUUUUCGCCUCUCCGGUUCAUCGUAUAGUUAACUAUUCAAGG
Molecule: small RNA, 499 nt
Filed under: Histoplasma ohiense
Lineage: Eukaryota; Fungi; Ascomycota; Eurotiomycetes; Onygenales; Ajellomycetaceae
Description: hypothetical lncRNA
Source: RNAcentral